This 724-nucleotide ribosomal RNA is filed under the name Utricularia lateriflora. RNAcentral describes it as "eukaryotic LSU rRNA". The stretch from base 294 to 449 matches the Rfam family "5.8S ribosomal RNA". The record is from RNAcentral. Lineage: Eukaryota; Viridiplantae; Streptophyta; Magnoliopsida; Lamiales; Lentibulariaceae.
AAGGUUUCCGUAGGUGAACCUGCGGAAGGAUCAUUGACGAGCCCUGAGACAACCGCGAACACGUUACCAACGUAGCGCCGAGGGUGGCGUCCGCAUCCCACGCCCCCUUGCGGGCGUGGCAACGCGUCGCCUCCCCCGGCACGUCGGGCCUCGGCGCCCGGCGAACCUAACCCCCGAGGCGCGGACAGCGCCAAGGAUCACACGAGCAGGCUCGUGGAGCCGGUGAGCGGGGCGAGCCCCGUGGCACUCGGCGCCCGUGCCGAUGGUGCGCGACGAGCGCCCGAACACAGUACGACUCUCGGCAACGGAUAUCUCGGCUCUCGCAUCGAUGAAGAACGUAGCGAAAUGCGAUACUUGGUGUGAAUUGCAGAAUCCCGUGAACCAUCGAGUCUUUGAACGCAAGUUGCGCCCGAAGCUGAAUUGCCGAGGGCACGCCUGCCUGGGCGUCACGCAUCGCGUCGCCACCCUCCCCCCGCUCGGGCGGGACGGGGGCGGAGACUGGCCCCCCGUGCGCUCGCGCGCGCGGCCGGCCCAAAUGGGGUCCCCCGGCGCUGGGCGCCACGAGCAUUGGUGGUUGAUCGCACGACUUCGCGUGCCGUCGCGCCGAGCCCCCGUGGGACUCGGGAGCACCCCCACCCCACAAGGGCGUCGUUCUACGAGCGGCGAGCCCUCGACCGCGACCCCAGGUCAGGCGGGAUCACCCGCUGAGUUUAAGCAUAUCAAU